Molecule: ribosomal RNA, 430 nt
Filed under: Streptomyces sp.
Lineage: Bacteria; Bacillati; Actinomycetota; Actinomycetes; Kitasatosporales; Streptomycetaceae
Description: bacterial SSU rRNA
Rfam family: Bacterial small subunit ribosomal RNA
Source: RNAcentral
GGGUGAGUAACACGUGGGCAAUCUGCCCUUCACUCUGGGACAAGCCCUGGAAACGGGGUCUAAUACCGGAUAUGAGCCUGGGAGGCAUCUCCCGGGUUGUAAAGCUCCGGCGGUGAAGGAUGAGCCCGCGGCCUAUCAGCUUGUUGGUGAGGUAAUGGCUCACCAAGGCGACGACGGGUAGCCGGCCUGAGAGGGCGACCGGCCACACUGGGACUGAGACACGGCCCAGACUCCUACGGGAGGCAGCAGUGGGGAAUAUUGCACAAUGGGCGAAAGCCUGAUGCAGCGACGCCGCGUGAGGGAUGACGGCCUUCGGGUUGUAAACCUCUUUCAGCAGGGAAGAAGCGAAAGUGACGGUACCUGCAGAAGAAGCGCCGGCUAACUACGUGCCAGCAGCCGCGGUAAUACGUAGGGCGCAAGCGUUGUCCGG